RNAcentral lists this ribosomal RNA (2827 nucleotides) under Rhodopseudomonas palustris. Its description in RNAcentral is "23S ribosomal RNA". It matches the Rfam family "Bacterial large subunit ribosomal RNA". The record is from RNAcentral. Lineage: Bacteria; Pseudomonadati; Pseudomonadota; Alphaproteobacteria; Hyphomicrobiales; Nitrobacteraceae. RNAcentral also lists the same sequence under 1 other name.
AAUCAAGUGCCUUAAGGGUGUUCGACGGAUGCCUUGGCGCUGAGAGGCGAUGAAGGACGUGCUACGCUGCGAUAAGCCAUGGGGAGCUGCGAAGAAGCUUUGAUCCGUGGAUUUCCGAAUGGGGAAACCCACCUUCGAUAGCCGGAACUCCAAGGCCUUGCGUUUCGAAAGAGACGUGAGGGUUUGGAUUUCCGGUUAUCAAGAGAAGGUAUGAGAUCUCUGAAUACAUAGGAGGUUUCAAGCGAACCCAGGGAACUGAAACAUCUAAGUACCUGGAGGAAAGGACAUCAACCGAGACUCCGCUAGUAGUGGCGAGCGAACGCGGACCAGGCCAGUCAUCAUUGGAAGACAAUUGGAAUCUGUCAGGAAAGCAGAGCCUUAGAGGGUGAUAGCCCCGUACAAGUAAUUCAACCAUUGAUGCUCGAGUAAGGCGGGACACGUGAAAUCCUGUCUGAACAUGGGGGGACCACCCUCCAAGCCUAAGUACUCCUCAGCGACCGAUAGUGAACCAGUACCGUGAGGGAAAGGUGAAAAGCACCCCGACGAGGGGAGUGAAAUAGUUCCUGAAAUCGGACACCUACAAACAGACGGAGCCCAAGAUACGUUCUGGGUGACGUCGUACCUUUUGUAUUAUGGGCCAGCGACUUAAUUUAACGAGCAAGCUUAAGCCGGUAGGUGUAGGCGCAGCGAAAGCGAGUCUGAAUAGGGCGUCAAGUUCGUUGGAUUAGACCCGAAACCUAGUGAUCUAGCCAUGAGCAGGUUGAAGGUGAGGUAACACUCACUGGAGGACCGAACGGGUGCCUGUUGAAAAAGGCUCCGAUGACUUGUGGUUAGGGGUGAAAGGCCAAUCAAACUGGGAAAUAGCUGGUUCUCCGCGAAAGAUAUUUAGGUAUCGCCUCGGACGAAUACCUCAGGGGGUAGAGCACUGGAUGGGCUAGGGGGACUUACCGUCUUACCAAACCCAACCAAACUCCGAAUACCUGAGAGUACUAUCCGGGAGUCACACGGCGGGUGCUAACGUCCGUCGUGGAGAGGGAAACAACCCUGACCUACAGCUAAGGCCCCCAAUUCGUGGCUAAGUGGGAAAGGAUGUGGAAAUCCCAAAACAACCAGGAGGUUGGCUUAGAAGCAGCCAUCCUUUAAAGAAAGCGUAACAGCUCACUGGUCUAAAUAAGGGUUUCUGCGCCGAAGAUGUAACGGGGCUCAAGCCACGAGCCGAAGCUUAGGGUGUGCGCAAGCACGCGGUAGCGGAGCGUUCUGUAAGCCUGCGAAGGGCGACCCGUGAGGGCGCCUGGAGGUAUCAGAAGUGCGAAUGCUGGCAUGAGUAACGACAAACACUGUGAAAGACAGUGUCGCCGAAAGUCCAAGGGUUCCUGCGUAAAGUUAAUCUUCGCAGGGUUAGCCGGUCCCUAAGGCGAGGCCGAAAGGCGUAGUCGAUGGGAAUCACGUGAAUAUUCGUGAGCCAGUGGAUGGUGACGAAUCCCUUAUGUUGUUCGACCUUACUGGAUUGGUCGGGCCUCGACGGGGUUCCAGGAAAUAGCCUCCACAUCAGACCGUACCCGAAACCGACACAGGUGGACUGGUAGAGUAUACCAAGGCGCUUGAGAGAACUAUGUUGAAGGAACUCGGCAAUUUACCUCCGUAACUUCGGGAUAAGGAGGCCUUCUGUUUGCGCAAGCAGGCAGGAGGGGCACAGACCAGGGGGUGGCAACUGUUUAACAAAAACACAGGGCUCUGCGAAAUCGCAAGAUGACGUAUAGGGUCUGACGCCUGCCCGGUGCCGGAAGGUUAAGAGGAGGAGUGCAAGCUCUGAAUUGAAGCCCCGGUAAACGGCGGCCGUAACUAUAACGGUCCUAAGGUAGCGAAAUUCCUUGUCGGGUAAGUUCCGACCUGCACGAAUGGCGUAAUGACUUCCCCGCUGUCUCCAACAUAGACUCAGUGAAAUUGAAUUCCCCGUGAAGAUGCGGGGUUCCUGCGGUCAGACGGAAAGACCCCGUGCACCUUUACUGUAGCUUUGCGCUGGUAUUCGUGACUGUUUGUGUAGAAUAGGUGGUAGGCUUUGAAGCUCGGGCGCCAGCUCGGGUGGAGCCGCAAUGUGAAAUACCACCCUAAUGGUUAUGGAUAUCUAACCGCGAUCCCUUAUCGGGUUCCGGGACAGCGCAUGGUGGGCAGUUUGACUGGGGCGGUCGCCUCCCAAAGAGUAACGGAGGCGUGCGACGGUAGGCUCAGAACGGUCGGAAAUCGUUCGUCGAGUACAAUGGCAUAAGCCUGCCUGACUGCGAGACCAACAAGUCGAGCAGAGACGAAAGUCGGUCAUAGUGAUCCCGGUGGUCCCGCGUGGAUGGGCCAUCGCUCAACGGAUAAAAGGUACGCCGGGGAUAACAGGCUGAUGACGCCCAAGAGUCCAUAUCGACGGCGUCGUUUGGCACCUCGAUGUCGGCUCAUCACAUCCUGGGGCUGGAGAAGGUCCCAAGGGUUCGGCUGUUCGCCGAUUAAAGUGGUACGUGAGCUGGGUUCAGAACGUCGUGAGACAGUUCGGUCCCUAUCUGCCGUGGGUGUUGGAAUGUUGAGAGGAUUUGCCCCUAGUACGAGAGGACCGGGGUGAACGUACCUCUGGUGGAGCUGUUGUCGCGCCAGCGGCAGUGCAGCAUAGCUAUGUACGGACGGGAUAACCGCUGAAAGCAUCUAAGCGGGAAACCCACCUCAAAACGAGCAUUCCCUUGAGAACCGUGGAAGACGACCACGUUGAUAGGCCGGAUGUGGAAGUGCAGCAAUGCAUGUAGCUUACCGGUACUAAUCGUUCGAUUGGCUUGAUUGCUCUCAUUAU